This 617-nucleotide long non-coding RNA is filed under the name Mytilus galloprovincialis (Mediterranean mussel). The record is from RNAcentral. Lineage: Eukaryota; Metazoa; Mollusca; Bivalvia; Mytilida; Mytilidae.
UGUCCGUGAACAAAGGUCAUUUAGAUUUUUUUUCAAAACUUUAGUUCCUUGUUUAAAAAUGACAAUUAAGUGGAUGUAAAUAUAUUUGAAAUUUCAAAUCAUAUACUUUUGUUGUAAAAACAGGAAAAUAUAUUAUAUUGAGAUGUAUAUAGAUAACUUUUUUUCAGAGACGAAUACCUUUGUAUUAGAUGUCUUUAUUACAAGAUGGUAUAGCCCUUAGUGUAAACAGGUCUACAGGUCUACAGGUCUACAGGUAUAUUGAAAAGUAUUUUAAAAAGUGAACAAGUGUUUAUUUCUAUUAACAUUCGUUGAGAUGACCAAUGAUUAUCUGUUUAUUGCUAUUUUACCUAUGGUGACGUUGUUAAUUUCCUUGACAACAGCAUGUGUUCCCUUAGUUUUUAGCGAUAAUUUUCAUAUCACUCGACUCCGCUGAGAAUGGAAAUGAUCAGUCAGCAAGUUCAAAGGAAAAAUUUGUAAAAUAGCAAUAAUGCAAAAUAUAAGCUGAAAGCAACAAUAUAAUGCUUUUUAGCCAAGUAUGGACAGCAGCUAUGUUGUUAUUGUAUACUAACUUAUUUUUGCAACUAGAAAAAAAUAACAAAAAUAUAAAUUAAUAUUUG